UGCAAAUAAAAAGAAAAGCUUCUGCAAAUAAAAGAAAAACGUUGCAAAUAAAAGAAAAACGUUGCAAAUAAAAGAAACAUCGCAGCAAAUAAAAAAAAUAAGCGAUGCAAAUAAAAGAAACACCGCAGCAAAUAAAAAACAUAAGCGAUGCAAAUAAAAAAAGCCACAACGGAAGUGGAUUACCGGGGACUGUUUUUGCCGAUGCACCGGUGUUUUGUGAGAGGAGAAGAAGAAGACGAAGAAGAAGACGAAGAAAUAGAGAACGGAGAAACAAGAACAGGAAUACAAACUGGAAAACGAACAAGAAAAUGUAUUGUCCUUUUUGAUGUUCGCUUCAGGUGUGCCAUGUGUGCCUCCUGCUGGUAUGAGUCCUCUGCCACGCCUUCAAUUCCUGUGUUCUACAACGUCAACAUUCCCAAUGGCGAAUACCUGUGCCAACAUUUUAAAGCUUCCUCUUUUGGACACUUAUAGUGCCUUCAAAGCCAACAUGGACUUUGGCAUCAAGAAUUCCCCCGGCUUUGGGUGCUUUUAGACAAUUAACCUGUGGUAAAAGUUAAUGUUGCCACACACAGUCUCACUCACUAGUGUAGUUUUAAUGUAGUGAGGAAGAGAGAUGUUUGUGAGAGUUUCUGUCUAUUUUCAUGGCAGAUUUGUGAUAUUUGUUAUAUAUUUCAUAGCACAUUUGUUAUGUUAUACAUUCUGUUGCACAUUCAAACAUAAGUUGCACAGCAACAUUUUUUUUUUAAAUAUUUUGUUUUGUAUUGCAAAUACGUGGUCUGUUGUCAACACCACACAUUUUUAUUGUAUUAUUAAUUGAUAACAGGAAUGGGCUUGCAGCUUCAGCUUGUUUCUAUAAUAAAAAAUACCAAACUACAGACUGUU
Epinephelus moara (kelp grouper) is the source of this 882-nucleotide long non-coding RNA. RefSeq lists it as uncharacterized. NCBI's taxonomy places the organism in Eukaryota, Metazoa, Chordata, Actinopteri, Perciformes, Serranidae. The transcript has 2 exons. The record is from RefSeq and is a predicted model, not a curated record.